CCCUGGCUUCUUCCUGCUUAUUCAGAAACCUUGUGAUUCAGCCAUGACCCAUCCCCUAUAAUUUCUCUGAAAAAGUGAUCUUUGCUGGAUUUGGUUCUCCAGUUGAGCUGCUUAGGCAAGAGAAAGUCAUGGAAGACAUCCUGAGUCGAGAGUUGUGGGAUACGGACUUUUCCUUUCUCUGCUGUUCAUUCUCCUGUGACCUUGAGGAAAUCACUUCAUUCUGGUCCUCUGCCUGCUCACUUAGGUGGUCGAUAACUCUUCAUGCAGAAUUUCCUUUUACUGAACGCUUAAAUCAGAGACUGGCUCAGCAUAUGUCAUGUUCCAUUGUCGAUGAUGAAAAUAUGAUUCUGAGGCUCUGCUGCCUUCUGCAUCCUCUUUUGUCUGUUGACAUUCCACUGCUUCCUGAGGCCUUUGCUGGUGGUUCC
RNAcentral lists this long non-coding RNA (425 nucleotides) under Equus caballus (horse). RNAcentral's name for it is "lncRNA (ENSECAG00000055919.1)". Lineage: Eukaryota; Metazoa; Chordata; Mammalia; Perissodactyla; Equidae. The record is from RNAcentral.